RNAcentral lists this ribosomal RNA (372 nucleotides) under uncultured Alphaproteobacteria bacterium. RNAcentral describes it as "bacterial SSU rRNA". It matches the Rfam family "Bacterial small subunit ribosomal RNA", at positions 28 to 424 of the family's 1533-position model. Lineage: Bacteria; Pseudomonadati; Pseudomonadota; Alphaproteobacteria. The record is from RNAcentral.
GAUGAACGCUGGCGGUCUGCUUAACACAUGCAAGUCGAACGGACCCUUCGGGGUUAGUGGCGGACGGGUGAGUAACACGUGGGAACCUACCUAUCGGUACGGAAUAACAGAGGGAAACUUCUGCUAAUACCGUAUACGUCCUUUGGGAGAAAGUUUUUCGUCCGAUAGAUGGGCCCGGCGUUCGAUUAGAUAGUUGGUGGGGUAACGGCCUACCAAGUCAACGAUCGAUAGCUGGUUUUGAGAGGAUGAUCAGCCACACUGGGACUGAGACACGGCCCAGACUCCUACGGGAGGCAGCAGUGAGGAAUAUUUGGGCAAUGGGGGAAACCCCUGAUCCAGCCAUGCCGCGUGCGCGAUGAAGGCCUUAGGGUU